Molecule: ribosomal RNA, 256 nt
Filed under: uncultured bacterium
Lineage: Bacteria
Description: partial 16S ribosomal RNA
Rfam family: Bacterial small subunit ribosomal RNA
Source: RNAcentral
UACGGAGGGUGCAAGCGUUAUCCGGAUUCACUGGGUUUAAAGGGUGCGUAGGCGGGCAGGUAAGUCAGUGGUGAAAUCCUAGAGCUUAACUCUAGAACUGCCAUUGAUACUAUCUGUCUUGAAUAUUGUGGAGGUAAGCGGAAUAUGUCAUGUAGCGGUGAAAUGCUUAGAUAUGACAUAGAACACCUAUUGCGAAGGCAGCUUACUACGCAUAUAUUUGACGCUGAGGCACGAAAGCGUGGGGGAUCAAAACAGG